This 17-nucleotide ribosomal RNA is filed under the name Melanoleuca nivea. RNAcentral describes it as "partial 18S ribosomal RNA". Lineage: Eukaryota; Fungi; Basidiomycota; Agaricomycetes; Agaricales; Pluteaceae. The record is from RNAcentral.
UCUGCGGAAGGAUAUUA